UAAUUCCGCAUAACAUCGCGAGCUGCAAUGCUUGCGAUCAAAGGAGCAAUUCGCUGGAGGAGGGGGUCGCGGCUGAUUAGCUAGUUGGUAGGGUAACGGCCUACCAAGGCGAUGAUCAGUAGCCGGCCUGAGAGGGCGCACGGCCACACUGGAACUGAAACACGGUCCAGACUCCUACGGGAGGCAGCAGUGGGGAAUUUUGCGCAAUGGGGGAAACCCUGACGCAGCAACGCCGCGUGGAGGAUGAAGUCCCUUGGGACGUAAACUCCUUUCGAACGGGACGAAAAAAAUGACGGUACCGUAAGAAGAAGCCCCGGCUAACUCCGUGCCAGCAGCCGCGGUAAUACGGGGGGGGCGAGCGUUGUUCGGAAUUAUUGGGCGUAAAGGGCGCGUAGGCGGUGCCGCAAGUCCAUGGUGAAAUCUCCAGGCUCAACUUGGAGUCUGCCACGGAAACUGCGAUGCUGGAGUGUGGAAGAAGUGAGUGGAAUUCCCGGUGUAGCGUGAAAUGCGUAGAUAUC
This 518-nucleotide ribosomal RNA is filed under the name uncultured bacterium. RNAcentral's name for it is "bacterial SSU rRNA". It matches the Rfam family "Bacterial small subunit ribosomal RNA", at positions 164 to 698 of the family's 1533-position model. The record is from RNAcentral.